Molecule: non-coding RNA, 24 nt
Filed under: Cricetulus griseus (Chinese hamster)
Lineage: Eukaryota; Metazoa; Chordata; Mammalia; Rodentia; Cricetidae
Source: RNAcentral
UGUAUUAAAGGUUGCAGCAUUAGG